AAGGGAUAGCCCAGAGAAAUUUGGAUUAAUACCUUAUAGUAUCUUAAGUGAGCAUUCACUAAGGAUUAAAGAUUUAUUGCUAUAAGAUGACUAUGCGUUCUAUUAGCUAGUUGGUAUGGUAACGGCAUACCAAGGCUACGAUAGAUAGGGGUCCUGAGAGGGAGAUCCCCCACACUGGUACUGAGACACGGACCAGACUCCUACGGGAGGCAGCAGUGAGGAAUAUUGGACAAUGGAGGCAACUCUGAUCCAGCCAUGCCGCGUGUAGGAAGACUGCCCUAUGGGUUGUAAACUACUUUUAUAGAGGAAGAAACCAUCUCACGUGUGAGAUGCUGACGGUACUCUACGAAUAAGGAUCGGCUAACUCCGUGCCAGCAGCCGCGGUAAUACGGAGGAUCCAAGCGUUAUCCGGAAUCAUUGGGUUUAAAGGGUCCGUAGGCGGGUUUGUAAGUCAGUGGUGAAAGUUUUCGGCUCAACCGGAAAAUUGCCAUUGAUACUGCAAGUCUUGAAUUAUUGUGAAGUGGUUAGAAUGUGUAGUGUAGCGGUGAAAUGCAUAGAUAUUACACAGAAUACCGAUUGCGAAGGCAGAUCACUAACAAUUAAUUGACGCUAAGGGACGAAAGCGUGGGUAGCGAACAGGAUUAGAUACCCUGGUAGUCCACGCCGUAAACGAUGGUUACUAGCUGUUCGGACUUCGGUCUGAGUGGCUAAGCGAAAGUGAUAAGUAACCCACCUGGGGAGUACGUUCGCAAGAAUGAAACUCAAAGGAAUUGACGGGGGCCCGCACAAGCGGUGGAGCAUGUGGUUUAAUUCGAUGAUACGCGAGGAACCUUACCAGGGCUUAAAUGUAGAUUGACAGGUUUAGAGAUAGACUUUCCUUCGGGCAAUUUACAAGGUGCUGCAUGGUUGUCGUCAGCUCGUGCCGUGAGGUGUCAGGUUAAGUCCUAUAACGAGCGCAACCCCUGUUGUUAGUUGCCAGCGAGUGAUGUCGGGAACUCUAGCAAGACUGCCGGUGCAAACCGCGAGGAAGGUGGGGAUGACGUCAAAUCAUCACGGCCCUUACGUCCUGGGCCACACACGUGCUACAAUGGUAGGUACAGAGAGCAGCCACUGGGUGACCAGGAGCGAAUCUAUAAAGCCUAUCACAGUU
This 1150-nucleotide ribosomal RNA is filed under the name Aquimarina sp. MAR_2010_214. RNAcentral's name for it is "bacterial SSU rRNA". It matches the Rfam family "Bacterial small subunit ribosomal RNA", at positions 138 to 1293 of the family's 1533-position model. Lineage: Bacteria; Pseudomonadati; Bacteroidota; Flavobacteriia; Flavobacteriales; Flavobacteriaceae. The record is from RNAcentral.